CCAAAAGUAUUAAAAUAGAUGAUGACAAUGAUGAUUUACCCAGAGUAUCUAACCAAUUAACUUAAUGAUUUACCCAGCAUCUAAUCAAUUAACUUCAGGAUGGAAUUCGCUCUCAUUUUAUCCUCAUCUUUCUCUUAUUUUGACCUUUGCUUCAGUUCUGUGUUCCUAAAUUGAGAUAGUUGGGGAUUUGAAUUCUGCCA
This 200-nucleotide unclassified non-coding RNA is filed under the name Hevea brasiliensis (rubber tree). Lineage: Eukaryota; Viridiplantae; Streptophyta; Magnoliopsida; Malpighiales; Euphorbiaceae. The record is from RNAcentral.